GGAUUAGAUACCCUGGUAGUCCACGCCCUAAACGAUGUCAACUAGACGUUGGGCUCAUUGAAGAGCUUAGUGUCGAAGCUAACGCGUUAAGUUGACCGCCUGGGGAGUACGGCCGCAAGGUUGAAACUCAAAGGAAUUGACGGGGGCCCGCACAAGCGGUGGAGCAUGUGGUUUAAUUCGAUGCAACGCGAAGAACCUUACCAGCCCUUGACAUCCUCGGAACUUGGCAGAGAUGCCUUGGUGCCUUCGGGAAUCGAGUGACAGGUGCUGCAUGGCUGUCGUCAGCUCGUGCCG
Molecule: ribosomal RNA, 294 nt
Filed under: uncultured bacterium
Lineage: Bacteria
Description: partial 16S ribosomal RNA
Rfam family: Bacterial small subunit ribosomal RNA
Source: RNAcentral